UACGUAGGGUGCAAGCGUUAAUCGGAAUUACUGGGCGUAAAGCGUGCGCAGGCGGUUUUGUAAGACAGAUGUGAAAUGCCCGGGCUUAACCUGGGAACUGCAUUUGUGACUGCAAGGCUAGAGUGUGUCAGAGGGGUAGAAUUCCACGUGUAGCAGUGAAAUGCGUAGAUAUGUGGAGGAACACCGAUGGCGAAGGCAGCCCCCUGGGAUAACACUGACGCUCAUGCACGAAAGCGUGGGGAGCAAACAGG
RNAcentral lists this ribosomal RNA (251 nucleotides) under uncultured bacterium. Its description in RNAcentral is "partial 16S ribosomal RNA". It matches the Rfam family "Bacterial small subunit ribosomal RNA", at positions 524 to 776 of the family's 1533-position model. The record is from RNAcentral.